This 236-nucleotide long non-coding RNA is filed under the name Selaginella moellendorffii. RNAcentral's name for it is "long non-coding RNA (SMOE_LNC001487)". Lineage: Eukaryota; Viridiplantae; Streptophyta; Lycopodiopsida; Selaginellales; Selaginellaceae. The record is from RNAcentral.
ACAGCCCUCAUAGCAAGAGCCAGCAUUUGAAGAAUCAUGUUCGAUUAGCAUGCUAACAUCCUUUUUCCUGCGUAUGCCCACUACGGGCAUCUGCAGCGAUCACUGAAAUUGCUUAGUACAAGCUUAUAUUGUAAUACUUAUUAAAAAUUAUCUUCGAUAACUAUCCUUAAUAACCAUUAUAGAAGUUGUGCAAACAGGUGAUAUAUCACUCAGGAAGCAGAAACACCAUUCCCCAA